RNAcentral lists this transfer-messenger RNA (377 nucleotides) under Puniceicoccales bacterium. It matches the Rfam family "transfer-messenger RNA". Rfam says of the family: Bacterial tmRNA, also known as 10Sa RNA or SsrA, is named for its dual tRNA and mRNA-like properties. Its role is to liberate the mRNA from a stalled ribosome. To accomplish this part of the tmRNA is used as a reading frame that ends in a translation stop signal. Lineage: Bacteria; Pseudomonadati; Verrucomicrobiota; Opitutia; Puniceicoccales. The record is from RNAcentral.
GGGGGUGACAUGGCUUCGACCAUUAACCGUAGGAGCAUAUGGCAUGUCGAAGAUGACGGUUGGCUUCGUUAAAAUCCGUUAAAAUCAUAAAUGACAAAAACAUUAUGAAACUGAACUUCAGAAAUGAAGUUGCACUCGCUGCUUAGCAUUAAUGCAGUGACAUUCGUCGCAGGAUGCUUGGUAAUGCGAACGGGUGUGAUUAACCAAGCAGGCGCCAUGGGGGUGUGCAGUGGGCAUGGCGUUCUACAAACGCUGCACUAAGCAAAUUUCAGCAUGCUGACUUGCGGAAAUUGCCGACAAUUAGAAAUCAGCUAAACAUGUAGAAGUAUUCCCUGAAAGCUAGUGGGACGCGGGUUCGAUCCCCGCCACCUCCACCA